UACGGGGGGGGCAAGCGUUGUUCGGAAUUACUGGGCGUAAAGGGCUCGUAGGUGGCCAACUAAGUCAGACGUGAAAUCCCCAGGCUUAACCUGGGAACUGCGUCUGAUACUGGAUGGCUUGAAUUCGGGAGAGGGAUGCAGAAUUCCAGGUGUAGCGGUGAAAUGCGUAGAUAUCUGGAGGAAUACCGGUGGCGAAGGCGGCAUCCUGGACCAAGAUUGACACUGAUGAGCGAAAGCUAGGGGAGCAAACGGG
Molecule: ribosomal RNA, 253 nt
Filed under: uncultured bacterium
Lineage: Bacteria
Description: partial 16S ribosomal RNA
Rfam family: Bacterial small subunit ribosomal RNA
Source: RNAcentral